Molecule: long non-coding RNA, 208 nt
Filed under: Elaeis guineensis (African oil palm)
Lineage: Eukaryota; Viridiplantae; Streptophyta; Magnoliopsida; Arecales; Arecaceae
Description: long non-coding RNA (EGUI_LNC061330)
Source: RNAcentral
AAACUUAUGGGAUAUACUGAUUUCAGUUUCUAAUUAGAUUGUGAUGAUAACAAAAGUGUGUCAGGCUAUGUAUUUACUCUGAAUGGAGGAGCUAUUUGCUAGAAGAGUUUCAAGCAACAUAUUGUGAUCGAUUUUUUAUAUGCGAAGUAGAAUACAAUGCUACAUCAGAUGCUGUAAAAUAUUCUGUACUACUAUCAUCUGGGACAAG